Molecule: long non-coding RNA, 312 nt
Filed under: Vitis vinifera (wine grape)
Lineage: Eukaryota; Viridiplantae; Streptophyta; Magnoliopsida; Vitales; Vitaceae
Description: long non-coding RNA (VVIN_LNC002997)
Source: RNAcentral
AAAAUUUGAGGAAAAAUGCGAGGGAAAGAAAAUACAAAGGAAAAGUAGAAGGAAAUAAAAAGUGAAGGAAAAUAAAAAAAUAGAUUAAAAGUUGAUAAAUUGUUUUUUUUGUUACUUCAAACUCAUUUUAUUUAUUUUAACUCAUCAAUAUAAAGAUUAAAUAAUUUAAAAAUACAUAAGUUUUUAAUUAGUUUUAAUUAUAUUUGAUUUUCUUUGAUAUUUUUCAUAGGACAACCAAACAUGAGAAAAUCAUUUUCCUUAGCAUUUUUUUUCUUUCCUUUGUACUUUCCGGGAACCAAACAUAGCCUAAAA